This 253-nucleotide ribosomal RNA is filed under the name uncultured bacterium. RNAcentral describes it as "partial 16S ribosomal RNA". It matches the Rfam family "Bacterial small subunit ribosomal RNA", at positions 524 to 776 of the family's 1533-position model. The record is from RNAcentral.
UACGUAGGGUGCGAGCGUUAAUCGGAAUUACUGGGCGUAAAGCGUGCGUAGGUGGUUGUUUAAGUCUGCUGUGAAAGCCCUGGGCUCAACCUGGGAAUUGCAGUGGAUACUGGGCGACUAGAGUGUGGUAGAGGAUAGUGGAAUUUCCGGUGUAGCAGUGAAAUGCGUAGAGAUCGGAAGGAACAUCUGUGGCGAAGGCGACUAUCUGGGCCAACACUGACACUGAGGCACGAAAGCGUGGGGAGCAAACAGG